Molecule: long non-coding RNA, 3705 nt
Organism: Orcinus orca (killer whale)
Lineage: Eukaryota; Metazoa; Chordata; Mammalia; Artiodactyla; Delphinidae
Exons: 3
Source: RefSeq, a predicted model, not a curated record
UAAUGUUAACAACCACCCUCUGACUUUGUUUUGAAUAUUCCUAGUUUCACUUUCCUCUUUGCUUAAAGCACUGUAUAUCUGUAUAAACCCACCAGAGGAGAAACUGAUGUCCCCAAGGUUCUUCUUAAAAAGAACGAGAACCCAAGCAUUAUGAUGCAAAUGCUUUCUGGAAGGUGCAACUGCUUGCAAGAUGAUUCUUCAAAUGGUUAUGGAACUGUGACCUUCUCUCUGGAAUGCAAGAUGAAAAGAGUUCUGGAGACGGAUGACGGAGAUGGUUGUACAGCAAUGUGUAUGUACUUAAAACCCCUCAACUGUAUACUUAAAAUGGUUAAGAGGGUAACUCGUGUAUUUUCCCACAAUUAAAAAUUUUAAGUAAAUAUAUUUCUUAAGAGUGCAGCUUUUGAUGGCAUAGAAUUCCCUCCCUCUUCUUGGUCUCCAGAUGAGAGGGAGCAUAAAAUAGGGAGGAUGUGACAUCUUGUGGCAUUUAUUCCUUAGACCACUGCAUCGAGGUGGUCUGAUUUUCAAUUAUUCAUUAAACAAAUAUCUACUGACCAUUUACAAUGUACUAGGCCUUGUUCUAGAGGCUGACAGCAAACAAAAAAGGUCCUCUAAAUUUCCUAUCCAUAGGGAUCUUACCUUCCAGCAGGUGGAGAAAAACCAUAAAUAAAAUAAACAAGUAAGAUACAUAGUAUUUAACAACAAACUAGUGAAUAAAACCAAAAAGAAGCAGACUCACAGAUAUAGAGAACAAACGUGAUUAUCAGUGGGGAGAGGGAAGGGGCGGGGCAACUUAGGGGUGGGGGGAAUGGUCAUUAUGGGAUUAUAUGAAAUCGUGUGCGAAAGUUUUGAAAAUUGUAAAACACUAUAGAAUUUAAAGAAUCUUUCAUUCAAUUUAAAAAAAGAAAAAAACAAAGAAAAAACUAAAUAAAAGAAAAAAGAUAUACAAUAUUUAGAUGGCAAUAUGAGUAUGGAGAGGGUGGAUAAAACACGUAUAAGGGGUGUUAUUUUAAAUAGAAUUGUCAGAGGAGACUUCACUGAGGAAAUAUAUGAGUAAGACUUGAAUUAAGGAAGUUAUCCAUGGAAGUAUCUGGGGGAAGAAUGUUCCAAACAAAAGGAAAAGUCAGUGCAAAGGCCCUGAGGCAGAUGCAUGACUGGUACAUACAGGGAAGAGCAAAGGGGUCAUAAUGGCUGAAGCAGAGUAAGGAAGGGGGAAGUAGUCUAAGAUGAGGUUAGAGACAUCAAAGAGGUCAUCCCAGAUCACGAAGGCCAUGGUAGCCCACUGUUAGUAAGACUUUGGCUCUUACUCUGAGAUGGCAGCUAGAGGAAUGACAUGAUCUGACUUCUGUGUUAAAAGGAUCUCGGUUGGGGUGGGGGAGGUCAAGGGCAGAACCAGGGAGACUAGUAGGAUUGCCAUAUUCCAGGUAAGAGAUUUUAAGAGCUCAAACCAGGUAGACAGCAAGGGUGGUAAGACAGUAGGGUGGUAAGAAGUGGUCAGAUUCUGGGUGUAUUUUGGGGAAAGGGCCGACAGGAUUUUCUGGGAGGCUGGCUCAAGAGGAAGAAGGAAGUGAAGGUUAAAGAACACCCUACUAGUUUCCUGUGCCCGCUGGAACACAACACCACAAACCUGGCAGCUUAAAACGACACACGUUUAUUCUGUCACAAUUCUAAAGGCCAGAAGGCUGAAACAAAGGAGUUGCCAGGGCUGCCCUGAGUCCAGAAGCUCUGGGGCUAUUCUGCUCCUUGCCUCUCCCAGUUUCUGGGGAUCCAGGCAUUCCCUAGGUGGAGGCUGCAGGACUCCAGUCUCUGCUUCCACCCUCACAUGGCCUUCUCCUCUGUCUAUGUCAUCUCUUUUGUCUCUCACAAGAGCACUUGUCAUUGGAUUUAGGACCCACCCAGAUAAUUCAGCAUGAUCUCAUCUCAAGAUCCUUAACUACCUCUGCCAAGACCUUUCCCCCAGAUAAGGUCACAUUCACAGGUACUGGGAGUAAGAACGUGGCUGUAUCUUUUGGGGAGACACCAUUGAAUUCACUGCAAUGACCAUGCUUUUAACCUGAGCAACCAUGAGGAUGUAAUCACCAUUAAGUGAGAUGGUGAAGAUAUGGGUUGAACAGAGUUGGGAGAGGAGGCUAGGACCUCAGUGUUGGACACGUCAGGUCUGAGAGGCUUACUUGAUAUUCAGUGGAGAUGUUGGGCGGGCAGCUGGAUGAGCAAACCUGGAGCUGAGGGCAGUGAAGGACUUGAGCCAUAAGUACGGAGGUACCAGGAUGCGGCAGCAUGGCAAGCCAUGGGGCCUGUGAUGUAACCCCGGGAGGGAUGAAGACAGAAGAGGGAAGCCAUGGGACUUCCCUGGUGGCCCAGUGGUUAAGACUCUGCCCUUCCAAGGCAGGGUGUGUGGGUUCAAUCCCUGGCUGGGGAUGGGGAACUAAGAUUCUGCAUGCUGCAUAGCAUGGUCAAAGAAAAAAGAAAGAAAAACGAGAGAAGCCAUGCCAGUGUUCGGAGGAUGCAGCUAAGAUCUGAGAAGGGAAGUCGGGCAGGUUGAGGAGAAACAGAAAUGUGUAAGGUUCUAGAAGCUGGGUGGAGAAAUUGCUGGAAGGAGGAAGGAGUGAUCAACUCCAUAUUCUGACCAUGGCAUCAUAGUUGCAAAUUCUCAGACCUAGGGCUUCAGGUGAAAGGUGAAAUUUCCUCUGUAGUUUCCUAUAACAAAAUUGUGCAAUUUUCAUGUAACUUCUGUUUUAUGAUGUGGGAAAGCCAGUGGCAUCUGACUGAAAUCAUAACAGUUACCCUGAAGUUCCUCAUAAUGAAGUAUGUUUUCAAAGCGUUGGCGUUAUUAAUUUGAUCAGCAAAGCCUUCUCACCAGGUCAGUGUUUACUGCAUUUGACCCAGAAGGGAAAGAAAGGCAUCUGUCUCAACCCCACACAAGCCCUCCUGUGUAGAUGCCAUUUCACACGCGUGGUCACAGCUCGUUGUUGGAGGAAUUCAGCGCGCCCUGUGUGACUCCACAGGGAGAGGACUCCAGAGACUUGUACCUGUUUCUCCUGACUUUGCCUCGCACACCUUUUCCCUUCGCUGAUUUGGCACUGUAUCCGCUCAUAUAAUAAAUCUUAGUCGCGAGCACAACCAUAUGCUGAGUUCUGUGAGACCUCAUAGUGAAUCAUCAAACCCGGGGGCGGCCUUGGGACCCCCGACACAGUUCCUCUUCAUGUGGGCCCCUCCAUGAGGUCUGGACCUCCUCAUAGCACGGUGGCUGGGUUCCAAAAACAAGUAUCCCGAGAGAAGGGUCCAGGUGGACCUCACCUCAGAAGUCACGUGGCAUCACUUCUGCCCAUUCUAUUAGUUGAGAUGUUCAUAAAGGCCCACCCAGGUUCAAGGGGAAGAUACACAGACUCCUCCUUCUGAUGGGGGUGUGGCAAGGUUCCAGAAAAGGAUGUGGAUGGAAAUACUGUUUAAGCCAUUUUUGGAAAAUAAAAUCAACCAUACCCUUAAGAGCUCCUGCACCUACAUUCCCUUUGAUAUGUCUCUGAAUACCUUCGGGAUAGGUUUCUCAGUUUGAGACCACUGGUACAGUGAAUAAAAACAUUGGCUUUUGAGUCAGAAAGACCGGAUUUGAAUCCUGGCUCUGUCACUUCCUGCCAAGAGAGCAAUGCCCAUUAGCCAUUACCAAGCAUGCAUACUCCUUAAAGUUCUAAGGGUUUAGGAACGGUUGCU